RNAcentral lists this ribosomal RNA (1352 nucleotides) under Lactiplantibacillus plantarum. RNAcentral's name for it is "bacterial SSU rRNA". It matches the Rfam family "Bacterial small subunit ribosomal RNA", at positions 91 to 1430 of the family's 1533-position model. The record is from RNAcentral. Lineage: Bacteria; Bacillati; Bacillota; Bacilli; Lactobacillales; Lactobacillaceae.
GUGAGUGGCGAACUGGUGAGUAACACGUGGGAAACCUGCCCAGAAGCGGGGGAUAACACCUGGAAACAGAUGCUAAUACCGCAUAACAACUUGGACCGCAUGGUCCGAGCUUGAAAGAUGGCUUCGGCUAUCACUUUUGGAUGGUCCCGCGGCGUAUUAGCUAGAUGGUGGGGUAACGGCUCACCAUGGCAAUGAUACGUAGCCGACCUGAGAGGGUAAUCGGCCACAUUGGGACUGAGACACGGCCCAAACUCCUACGGGAGGCAGCAGUAGGGAAUCUUCCACAAUGGACGAAAGUCUGAUGGAGCAACGCCGCGUGAGUGAAGAAGGGUUUCGGCUCGUAAAACUCUGUUGUUAAAGAAGAACAUAUCUGAGAGUAACUGUUCAGGUAUUGACGGUAUUUAACCAGAAAGCCACGGCUAACUACGUGCCAGCAGCCGCGGUAAUACGUAGGUGGCAAGCGUUGUCCGGAUUUAUUGGGCGUAAAGCGAGCGCAGGCGGUUUUUUAAGUCUGAUGUGAAAGCCUUCGGCUCAACCGAAGAAGUGCAUCGGAAACUGGGAAACUUGAGUGCAGAAGAGGACAGUGGAACUCCAUGUGUAGCGGUGAAAUGCGUAGAUAUAUGGAAGAACACCAGUGGCGAAGGCGGCUGUCUGGUCUGUAACUGACGCUGAGGCUCGAAAGUAUGGGUAGCAAACAGGAUUAGAUACCCUGGUAGUCCAUACCGUAAACGAUGAAUGCUAAGUGUUGGAGGGUUUCCGCCCUUCAGUGCUGCAGCUAACGCAUUAAGCAUUCCGCCUGGGGAGUACGGCCGCAAGGCUGAAACUCAAAGGAAUUGACGGGGGCCCGCACAAGCGGUGGAGCAUGUGGUUUAAUUCGAAGCUACGCGAAGAACCUUACCAGGUCUUGACAUACUAUGCAAAUCUAAGAGAUUAGACGUUCCCUUCGGGGACAUGGAUACAGGUGGUGCAUGGUUGUCGUCAGCUCGUGUCGUGAGAUGUUGGGUUAAGUCCCGCAACGAGCGCAACCCUUAUUAUCAGUUGCCAGCAUUAAGUUGGGCACUCUGGUGAGACUGCCGGUGACAAACCGGAGGAAGGUGGGGAUGACGUCAAAUCAUCAUGCCCCUUAUGACCUGGGCUACACACGUGCUACAAUGGAUGGUACAACGAGUUGCGAACUCGCGAGAGUAAGCUAAUCUCUUAAAGCCAUUCUCAGUUCGGAUUGUAGGCUGCAACUCGCCUACAUGAAGUCGGAAUCGCUAGUAAUCGCGGAUCAGCAUGCCGCGGUGAAUACGUUCCCGGGCCUUGUACACACCGCCCGUCACACCAUGAGAGUUUGUAACACCCAAAGUCGG